CAGUCGCCGCGGUAAUACGUAGGGUGCAAGCGUUAAUCGGAAUUACUGGGCGUAAAGCGUGCGCAGGCGGUUCUAUAAGACAGAUGUGAAAUCCCCGGGCUCAACCUGGGAACUGCAUUUGUGACUGUAGAGCUGGAGUGCGGCAGAGGGGGAUGGAAUUCCGCGUGUGGCAGUGAAAUGCGUAGAUAUGCGGAGGAACACCGAUGGCGGAGGCAAUCCCCUGGGCCUGCACUGACGCUCAUGCACGAAAGCGUGGGGAGCAAACAGGAUUAGAUACCCUAGUAGUCCCUGUCUUUAUACA
This 301-nucleotide ribosomal RNA is filed under the name uncultured bacterium. RNAcentral describes it as "partial 16S ribosomal RNA". It matches the Rfam family "Bacterial small subunit ribosomal RNA", at positions 509 to 809 of the family's 1533-position model. The record is from RNAcentral.